Molecule: ribosomal RNA, 387 nt
Filed under: uncultured bacterium
Lineage: Bacteria
Description: bacterial SSU rRNA
Rfam family: Bacterial small subunit ribosomal RNA
Source: RNAcentral
GUGUCAGCAGCCGCGGUAAUACGGGGGGUGCAAGCGUUGUCCGGAAUGAUUGGGCGUAAAGCAUCUGUAGGUGGUUUUUAAAGUCGACUGUUAAAGCCCAGGGCUCAACUUUGGAUAAGCGGUCGAGUACUUAAGGACUUGAGUAUGGUAGGGGUAGAGGGAAUUCCUAGUGGAGCGGUGAAAUGCACAGAGAUUAGGAAGAACACCGAGGGCGAAAGCACUCUACUGGGCCAUGACUGACACUGAGAGAUGAAAGUUGGGGGAGCGAAAAGGAUUAGAUACCCUUGUAGUCCCAACCGUAAACGAUGGAUACUAAGUGCUGACAAAAUCAGUGCUGUAGCUAACGCGUUAAGUAUCCCGCCUGGGGAGUAUGCUCGCAAGAGUGAA